ACGGGGUCGCAGCAGGCGCGAAAACUUUACAAUGCGGGAAACCGUGAUAAGGGAACCCCGAGUGCCUGUAUAUGCAGGCUGUCCAGGUGUCUAAAAAACACCUGAAGAAAGGGCCGGGCAAGACCCGGUGCCAGCCGCCGCGGUAAUACCCGGCGGCUCGAGUGGUGGCCACUUUUAUUGGGCUUAAAGCGUUCGUAGCUGGGUUGUUAAGUCUCUUGGGAAAUCUGACGGCUUAACCGUCCAGGCGUCUAAGAGAUACUGGUCAAUCUUGGAACCGGGAGAGGUGAGGGGUACUUCGGGGGUAGGAGUGAAAUCCUGUAAUCCUCGAGGGACCACCUGUGGCGAAGGCGCCUCACCAGAACGGAUUCGACAGUGAGGGACGAAAGCUGGGGGAGCAAACCGGAUUAGAUACCCGGGUAGUCCCAGCCGUAAACGAUGCUGCGUUAGGUGUAUCGGUGACCACGAGUCACCGAGGUG
RNAcentral lists this ribosomal RNA (477 nucleotides) under uncultured Methanoculleus sp. Its description in RNAcentral is "bacterial SSU rRNA". It matches the Rfam family "Archaeal small subunit ribosomal RNA", at positions 325 to 800 of the family's 1478-position model. The record is from RNAcentral. Lineage: Archaea; Methanobacteriati; Methanobacteriota; Methanomicrobia; Methanomicrobiales; Methanomicrobiaceae.